UGCGUAGGUGGUGGGGUAAGUCGGAUGUGAAAGCUCGGAGCUCAACUCCGAAAUGGCAUUGGAAACUACCCUGCUAGAGGAUUGGAGGGGGGACUGGAAUACUUGGUGUAGCAGUGAAAUGCGUAGAUAUCAAGUGGAACACCAGUGGCGAAGGCGAGUCCCUGGACAAUACCUGACACUGAGGCACGAAAGCUAGGGGAGCAAACAGGAUUAGAUACCCUGGUAGUCC
RNAcentral lists this ribosomal RNA (229 nucleotides) under uncultured bacterium. RNAcentral's name for it is "partial 16S ribosomal RNA". It matches the Rfam family "Bacterial small subunit ribosomal RNA", at positions 568 to 796 of the family's 1533-position model. The record is from RNAcentral.